UUAUAAUUACCAGAUUAAUAGUAGAUAUUUUCUUUAAAUUUAAAGAAUUUGGCGGUGAUUUAGUCUAGUCAGAGGAACCUGUUUUUGAAUCGAUAAACCACGAAAAAUCUUACUUAUCUUUGUUUUCAGUUUGUAUACCGUCAUUAGCANAUAAUUUUUAAAGAAAUAAUUAUUGUGUUUUAUAAAUUUAGAAAAAUUAGAUCAUGGUGCAGCUUAUAGGUAAGUUAAAAUGGGUUACAAUAAUAUUUAUUUAUAACGAAUAAAUAAUGAAGAAAANUUUUUAAGGGNGGAUUNGAUGGUAAUAUAAGUUUAAUAUGCUUAGGAGGNAUGAGCUCUAAAUCNUGUACAUAUCCCCCGNCACUCCNAA
Molecule: ribosomal RNA, 367 nt
Filed under: Pseudocarcinus gigas
Lineage: Eukaryota; Metazoa; Arthropoda; Malacostraca; Decapoda; Eriphiidae
Description: partial 12S ribosomal RNA
Source: RNAcentral